GAGUUUGAUCAUGGCUCAGAUUGAACGCUGGCGGCAUGCCUUACACAUGCAAGUCGAACGACGCUAGGGGCAACUCUAGCGAGUGGCGAACGGGUGAGUAAUACAUCGGAACGUGUCCUGUCGUGGGGGAUAACCAGUCGAAAGACUGGCUAAUACCGCAUGACCUCGCAAGAGAAAAGCGGAGGACCGCAAGGCUUCGCGCGAUUGGAGCGGCCGAUGUCGGAUUAGCUAGUUGGCGGGGUAAUGGCCCACCAAGGCGACGAUCCCUAGCUGGUCUGAGAGGAUGACCAGCCACACUGGAACUGAGACACGGUCCAGACUCCUACGGGAGGCAGCAGUGGGGAAUAUUGCACAAAUGGGCGCAAGCCUGAUGCAGCCAUGCCGCGUGUGUGAAGAAGGCCU
RNAcentral lists this ribosomal RNA (402 nucleotides) under uncultured beta proteobacterium. RNAcentral describes it as "bacterial SSU rRNA". It matches the Rfam family "Bacterial small subunit ribosomal RNA", at positions 9 to 417 of the family's 1533-position model. Lineage: Bacteria; Pseudomonadati; Pseudomonadota; Betaproteobacteria. The record is from RNAcentral.